GCCGAAUUAAAACAUGAUGAUUAUAAAAUUAAAUCUGAUUUAUUUGAAAAAAAAGUUAAAAUUAUGUACAAAUAAAUGGGAGGAUGAAAGUAAAUUAUAUAACACAUAUAUACAAGAGUUGUAUAACCAACUUCUGAGAGGAUAAGCUACCGGGGUUUUUAGACGUCGAAGUACUUGGGAUCCGAUGGAUAAUCAUAUUCUACAUGUAGCUUGCCCUCAUCAGCAUCUGAAUGUCGUUGAGGGAACACAACUCUCAGGUCAUUGUAUAAAUAGAACCUGCGUUGUCCUUCCGCAUCUAAAUGUGUCUUCUGUGGAACAGAUGCAGGAUCAGAUUUACAUCUCUGAACUGAUCUAGAAGACAUUUUUGGUGAAGGGCAAAGAAAACGUAGGUGGAGUGCAUAACGCAGAGCACCACCAUGGGCAUUAUCAUUGAUCUUUGAACAACCAUGAGUUGAUCUUCUGUCAAUUCCAAUGCAUGUAUUCACCCCAGUGCAGUCCUUCCCAUUAGACCCCGGGCGAUUACCACUACUGCAGUCAUUGUGAAGUACAAUAGAAUCAACACCUGCCUUUCCCACACUUUGUGAUUGCGUGGACAAAUUCUGUGUCUGUAUUGAAUCUACUAUAUCAUGGCAUUCAUUCCCUUUGACUUCAUUUUGGCCAAUAGAAGCAACUGAAUUUACAGGAUGGUUUUUCUGUGACACUGUAGUCACCUUGUCUCUCAUUUUUUUGUCUAAACCUAUAUGCCCAUGUUUCAACUCUGACGAAGUUGUUCCAGAAGAGGCUAAAGUUACCUUCUGACGCAAGAAUGUUUUGGUACCAGCCGGCAUGUCACUCAAAUCAUAGUUGCAAAGAAAGGUGUGGAGAGGGGUCUUUUCUGGAUUGCUAAGGACCAGCUGUACACGCCCUUUCAUAGGAAUACGAAAGCAGCUCCUGACAGUCUGUGAAUCAUCAUUACUUAAGCCUCUUCUCAAUUUUUGGCCCCUAUGCUUGUUUGAUGAAUUUCCUGCAAGGUCUAUGGAUGCAUAAUAUAGCAAAUAACAAUCUCCAUCAACACUGGUCACUGAAAAAGGAAGCUUCUGUGAUUGCGGUGAAAAAUUCCCUCCCGUAAUGCUUAACACGGCUAGGAAACCGUCUAUUCUCUGGGUGAAUUUUCCAGAAAAGAACCGUCCAGACAGUAAUGAUUCCUCAAAUGAACCAACCAAGGAC
RNAcentral lists this unclassified non-coding RNA (1206 nucleotides) under Hevea brasiliensis (rubber tree). Lineage: Eukaryota; Viridiplantae; Streptophyta; Magnoliopsida; Malpighiales; Euphorbiaceae. The record is from RNAcentral.